UCACAGGCUAGCUAUGUACUCAGAAUAUUGCAAAAUGUGCUUUCGCCGAAAAGCUAUUUUAAAAUCUGACACCGCGAUUGCAUAAAGACUUCCGGCUGCUGGAGUAAGUAGUCGUGCUGCACCUCGCUCCGUGGAUGAACGUGGUACCUUCAGGCAUUUGGAAAUUGCUCCCAAGGAUGAACCAGAACUAGACUUGUGGAGAUCUACAAUUUUUUUCUGAGGUCUUGGCUGAUUUCUUUUGAUUUUCCCAUAAUGUCAAGCAAAGAGGCACUGAGUUUGAAGGACAUUGUAGUUUGUAAAACUACACAAAGGAUAAAGAGUGCUAUAAAAGCGGGAGACAGGCAGGGAGACAGCACCAAAAACCUGCCUGUCUAUGUUGAAACAGCAGACCCAGGGAGGAGGAAGACAGAGUGAAGG
RNAcentral lists this long non-coding RNA (417 nucleotides) under Salmo salar (Atlantic salmon). RNAcentral describes it as "lncRNA (ENSSSAG00000090967.1)". Lineage: Eukaryota; Metazoa; Chordata; Actinopteri; Salmoniformes; Salmonidae. The record is from RNAcentral.